CUCGUAGUUGGAUUUCUGUUUUUAAAAAUCGGUCGUAACCUCACGGUUUCUGUACCAGGUUUCUUAAAUGCAUCCUCAGGGUUCUGAUAUCUGGUAUUAAUUUAUCGGAUUUUUGGUCCUUGUCAUUUACUGUGAGCAAAAUAGAGUGUUCAAAGCAGGCUUAGGCCAUGAAUACAUUAGCAUGGAGUAAUAAGAUAGGACCUUGGUCUAUUUUGUUGGUUUACAUUCCAAGGUAAUGAUUAAUAGGGAUAGUUGGGGGUAUUCGUAUUCAAUUGUCAGAGGUGAAAUUCUUGGAUUUAUGGAAGACGAACUACUGCGAAAGCAUUUACCAAGGAUGUUUUCAUUAAUCAAGAACGAAAGUUAGGGGAUCGAAGAUGAUUAGAUACCAUCGUAGUCUUAACCAUAAACUAUGCCGACUAGGGAUUGGUGGAAUAUAUCAAAGUUCCAUCAGCACCUUAUGAGAAAUCAAAGUCUUUGGGUUCCGGGGGGAGUAUGGUCGCAAGGCUGAAAC
RNAcentral lists this ribosomal RNA (511 nucleotides) under uncultured Chrysophyceae. RNAcentral's name for it is "SSU rRNA". It matches the Rfam family "Eukaryotic small subunit ribosomal RNA", at positions 627 to 1143 of the family's 1831-position model. The record is from RNAcentral. Lineage: Eukaryota; Chrysophyceae.